GACGAACGCUGGCGGCGUGCCUAAUACAUGCAAGUCGAGCGAAUCACUGGGAGCUUGCUCCCGGUGGUUAGCGGCGGACGGGUGAGUAACACGUGGGCAACCUGCCUGUAAGACUGGGAUAACACCGGGAAACCGGUGCUAAUACCGGAUAAUCCUUUUCCUCUCAUGAGGAAAAGCUGAAAGUCGGUUUCGGCUGACACUUACAGAUGGGCCCGUGGCGCAUUAGCUAGUGGGUGAGGUAACGGCUCACCAAGGCGACGAUGCGUAGCCGACCUGAGAGGGUGAUCGGCCACACUGGGACUGAGACACGGCCCAGACUCCUACGGGAGGCAGCAGUAGGGAAUCUUCCACAAUGGACGAAAGUCUGAUGGAGCAACGCCGCGUGAGCGAUGAAGGCCUUCGGGUCGUAAAGCUCUGUUGUUAGGGAAGAACAAGUACCGGAGUAACUGCCGGUACCUUGACGGUACCUAACCAGAAAGCCACGGCUAACUACGUGCCAGCCGCCGCCGUAA
RNAcentral lists this ribosomal RNA (512 nucleotides) under uncultured bacterium. RNAcentral describes it as "partial 16S ribosomal RNA". It matches the Rfam family "Bacterial small subunit ribosomal RNA", at positions 28 to 523 of the family's 1533-position model. The record is from RNAcentral.